GUGAGUGAAGCUAGGCGGAGCUAAGCGGAACGAAAUUCAUCUGGCUAGGGUCAGGUUAGGAGUCUCCUGCACUACCCAAGACUCAGAGAAUUCAGCAAGAUGCUUCUGAAUGGUGCACAUGUGGAAAUUGUGCAACAAUGCCUUCAGAGCCUGAGAACUUAUGCUGCCAGGAGGUACCACAGGUUACAAGACGGCUGCAGCAGCUGAAUGAAAGGCCUCCAUGUAUGAUAGACCAUCCAGGCUUAGAACCUGUUUGCCUAAAUGUGUUCUCACGGCAGAAUGCAUGGAACAUUUACAGGGCUGACUACGGUCCUUUACAGUUAUGGGGAAUAGAGCAGUGAGUUAUCUGUAAUAACCUACUUCCAUUCACUGUUCAUACAACAUAAAAGCAAAUAUAGUCUGCCAAAGCCUCUAUUUCAGAAUUUUUUCUUGAACUUAUGGCCAAGUAUUUCCUUAGCAAACUGUAUAUUACACAUAAAUUCACAUGAAGCAUUUUACACAUACAAUAAACAUUUAUUUACUGUUGUUAUUGUACAUAAAAAUACAGUAUUGAAGGAUUCACUGAAACCAGAUUAUACAUACAUUAUAAAACCUGUUGACUAGCAAUGUUUCAUUUUUCUCAGUCGUUACAGGUAUUUAGCCUACAGAAGUUUUGUGAGCUGGUGCUGGGGCUUCCUUGGUAGAAAGAUACGGGUAGUGAUCCCCUCAUGUGUCGUGACGGGAGUUUCCUGACGCCCAGGGAAGAUAUGUAGGAUUCAAACUCCCACCCCUUGAUCGAAUCUUGAGACAUAGCUGGCGAUGACCUCCUCCUUGUCUGGAUGCUCAUAUUGUGAAGACCGGUCCGGCGGGAUGUUUAUCUUCAGAAUCUCGUCUCCAUACGAUGAUGGGUCAACACUUUCUCCAUGAUCAUGUCCAUCAAAUCUUCAACAUACCCUGUGCAAUACACAUACACACAAAAAAGUGAAUCACUAGUAUAAUUUACUACAUUAUUCAACAACUGUUCAUAUUGACAUUUUGCAUGUGAAAUUGUGUAGUUUCUCAGGUAUUUAAGUAAGUUUGUUUGGUUUUAUUUAUUGUGCUGAAAGCACUGUAGCAGUACUUUGUCAUGUACAAUAUAAGUGUUUGUUUUUGUGUAAAUAAAAAAAACUUAUGGAACGUAGCGUCUGUCUUCACUGGUCUGCUCCUUUUUCUAGAUUGUAGA
Alosa alosa (allis shad) is the source of this 1201-nucleotide long non-coding RNA. RefSeq lists it as uncharacterized. The transcript is spliced from 3 exons. NCBI's taxonomy places the organism in Eukaryota, Metazoa, Chordata, Actinopteri, Clupeiformes, Clupeidae. The record is from RefSeq and is a predicted model, not a curated record.